This 253-nucleotide ribosomal RNA is filed under the name uncultured bacterium. RNAcentral describes it as "partial 16S ribosomal RNA". It matches the Rfam family "Bacterial small subunit ribosomal RNA", at positions 524 to 776 of the family's 1533-position model. The record is from RNAcentral.
UACGUAGGGUGCGAGCGUUAAUCAGAAUUACUGGGCGUAAAGCGUGCGCAGGCGGUUCUCCAAGUCCGUUGUGAAAGCCCCGGGCUCAACCUGGGAAUGGCAGUGGAAACUAGGGGACUGGAAUCUGGCAGAGGGGGGUGGAAUGCCGCGUGUAGCAGUGAAAUGCGUAGAGAUGCGGCGAAACACCGAUGGCGAAGGCAGCCCCCUGGGCUGAGAUUGACGCUCAGGCACGAAAGCGUGGGGAGCAAACAGG